Molecule: ribosomal RNA, 253 nt
Filed under: uncultured bacterium
Lineage: Bacteria
Description: partial 16S ribosomal RNA
Rfam family: Bacterial small subunit ribosomal RNA
Source: RNAcentral
UACGGGGGGGGCAAGCGUUGUUCGGAAUUACUGGGCGUAAAGGGCUCGUAGGCGGCCAACUAAGUCAGACGUGAAAUCCCUCGGCUUAACCGGGGAACUGCGUCUGAUACUGGAUGGCUAGAGUUUGGGAGAGGGAAGCGGAAUUCCGGGUGUAGCGGUGAAAUGCGUAGAUAUCCGGAGGAACACCGGUGGCGAAGGCGGCUUCCUGGACCGACACUGACGCUGAGGCGCGAAAGCUAGGGGAGCAAACGGG